Molecule: ribosomal RNA, 257 nt
Filed under: uncultured bacterium
Lineage: Bacteria
Description: partial 16S ribosomal RNA
Rfam family: Bacterial small subunit ribosomal RNA
Source: RNAcentral
GUCCACGCCGUAAACGAUGGAUACUAGCUGUUCGGAGCAAUCUGAGUGGCUAAGCGAAAGUGAUAAGUAUCCCACCUGGGGAGUACGUUCGCAAGAAUGAAACUCAAAGGAAUUGACGGGGGCCCGCACAAGCGGUGGAGCAUGUGGUUUAAUUCGAUGAUACGCGAGGAACCUUACCAAGGCUUAAAAUGUAGAUUGACCGAUUUUGGAAACAGAUCUUUCGCAAGACAAUUUACAAGGUGCUGCAUGGUUGUCGU